RNAcentral lists this long non-coding RNA (332 nucleotides) under Homo sapiens (human). RNAcentral's name for it is "HSALNT0095145". The record is from RNAcentral. Lineage: Eukaryota; Metazoa; Chordata; Mammalia; Primates; Hominidae.
GACACCGUAGGAAAGUGGACGAUUUAAACUUGACUGUACCAUGCUCUUGACCAUAAAGCUGCCCCAGACGAAGGCUGUGAGAACAUCUGAAGGAUUCAUGUGGGUGCAGGGGAACCCAGACCAGAGUUGAACCCAGAGCCUAGCCCCAGACCUGAUUCCCAGCUGGAGCAGUUGACAGCCUCGGGUCUUGCCCUAGGAUCUUGGAAGAAGGAUCUGUGAAGGAACCUGCAGAUGACAGCAGCUUCUCGCUGUCCCAGGAGGUUCUCCGGCACCUGCGGCAGGAGGAAAAGGAAGAGGUUACUGUGGGCAGCUUGAAGACCUCAGCGGUGCCC